RNAcentral lists this ribosomal RNA (216 nucleotides) under uncultured fungus. RNAcentral's name for it is "partial small subunit ribosomal RNA". The stretch from base 91 to 216 matches the Rfam family "Eukaryotic small subunit ribosomal RNA", at positions 738 to 864 of the family's 1831-position model. Lineage: Eukaryota; Fungi. The record is from RNAcentral.
GACCUGGCCGGGCGGUCUGCCUCGCGGCAUGUACUGUCUGGCCGGGCCUUACCUCUUGGUGAGCCGGCAUGCCCUUCACUGGGUGUGUCGGGGAACCAGGACUUUUACCUUGAGAAAAUUAGAGUGUUCAAAGCAGGCCGUCGCGCCUGGAUACAUUAGCAUGGGAUAAUAGAAUAGGACCGCGGUUCUAUUCUGUUGGUUGGCAGGACCGCAGUA